UGUAUGAAUUUAAAUGCUUAUUUGCUAACAUGAAUUAUAUGCCUCGAUAUUCCAUGAGUACAUGGUUGGUAUUAUGGAUAUCGUAAAUGACAUUACGAGUAAGUUCGACAGUGAUGCGACAAGUAAGGAAAUCCCGUUUGAAUGUAACACCCCUUACCCAAGUCCAAGGUCGGGACCGGGCACGUGACAUUACCUGACUUAAAUGCAUGCAUACAAUCAUUUCCGAGCUAUGAAAACUAGAUCAAUUUUAAAACUUUCCACUCUUAAUCUAGAAAUUCU
Molecule: long non-coding RNA, 279 nt
Filed under: Gossypium barbadense (sea-island cotton)
Lineage: Eukaryota; Viridiplantae; Streptophyta; Magnoliopsida; Malvales; Malvaceae
Description: long non-coding RNA (GBAR_LNC008079)
Source: RNAcentral